RNAcentral lists this unclassified non-coding RNA (1204 nucleotides) under Hevea brasiliensis (rubber tree). Lineage: Eukaryota; Viridiplantae; Streptophyta; Magnoliopsida; Malpighiales; Euphorbiaceae. The record is from RNAcentral.
AAAAACCACUAAACAAAAUAAAACUAUUAGAAGCCUUUUAAGAGGAAAAAAUAAUUUAUUCCUCUGCAUACAAUGCUAUGCAAUUACGAAGCUCCCCAUCCAACCUACAAUGUCAUUUAAAAUAUCAGAGGUGAUAUUUCUGAACGACAUCAUACUCAUCAUGGAGGUUAGAUGAAACAUACUUUGAUUUUCUUACGUUUACAAAUUUGUUAGGUUACUGAUCAUAGUAAUAUUCUGAUCAAAAACCUUUACUUUAAAAUUAUCUUUUAUAGUUUUAUUAUCACAGUAAUAUUCAGAUCAAAACACCUAACUUUCCUCAUAAUGCAAACUUCAUCGACACAAUAAUCAAACCAAGCACCAUGAUAUGUAUGGUUUUUAGCUUCCAUGAUGAUUCUAUGAAAAUAAGUGUGAAUCGACAGCCUAUGAAAAUGGCUAACAGUGCAACAAAGCUAAGCAUGGAAAUAUCCUUUGGAAACCAAGCACUAUAGGUAUCCAGCCCAUUUGAUUGCCUAAGUUCAUUCCAAGUGCUCAUUUAAAAGGAAACCCCCAAUGGUAAACUAAAAACCCUGCAUAGAAAAGAGUAUAUCACAGGGUAGCAGCCCAAUGCUCGCAACAUUGAGACCUGAAAGAAAGCUAAGAGAACAGGUUCACUUCUUUGAUAACAUUUGCUUAAAGGCAAGGUAUCCACAUUUAUAAUCUGUCCUCCAUAAAAGGGGCAACCCGCAAACAGAUUACCAUUGGCGUGCCAACUUUCACACCAAAUAUGGAAUUUUUUUGGUUUUUCCUAUCCCCCAACACAUGUGAUAACGGGCCUCAAUUAAGCCCAAAACCUUCAGGAUUUCCCUCCAACUGAAAGAGAAUGUCUCUUUAGCUAGCGCUCCACCAGUCAGGUCCUCGAAUGUGCGUUAAUUAGCAAUAGUGUUGCGUGAAUGCUAAAAACACAGUCCGUCAAACCACAUCUCAUUCCUUUCAAAUGAGAAGCAUUCUACCACUCUAGAGUCGGGACAUUUCAUCAAGUUUGUCUUACUGAUAACCCAAUUCUAACUUUGAAUCAUUGUUUUCCAGUUAACACAUUAGAAAAAAUCAUCAAAGCACAUCGAUAGUAAAUACAAAACAAGAACAAGCUUGCCACUUGAAUCCCCGAAACCCGUGUUCUCGACACAAAAUUAACAGAGAAAGAAGGAACAGGUAAUAAGCAAUACCA